AGCGAACGCUGGCGGCAGGCCUAACACAUGCAAGUCGAGCGCCGUAGCAAUACGGAGCGGCAGACGGGAGAGGAACACGUGGGAACGUGCCCUUUGGUUCGGAACAACCCAGGGAAACUUGGGCUAAUACCGGAUAAGCCCUUACGGGGACAGAUUUAUCGCGGAAGGAUCGGCCGGCGUCUGAUUAGCUAGUUGGUGGGGUAAUGGCCCACCAAGGCGACGAUCAGUAGCUGGUCUGAGAGGAUGAGCAGCCUCACUGGGACUGAGACACGGCCCAGACUCCUACGGGAGGCAGCAGUGGGGAAUAUUGGACAAUGGGCGGAAGGCUGAUCCAGCCAUGCCGCGUGGGUGAUGAAGGCCCUAGAGUUGUAAAGCCCUUUCGGCGGGGAAGAUAAUGACGGUACCCGCAGAAGAAGCUCCGGCUAACUUCGUGCCAGCCGCCGCAGUAA
Molecule: ribosomal RNA, 449 nt
Filed under: uncultured bacterium
Lineage: Bacteria
Description: partial 16S ribosomal RNA
Rfam family: Bacterial small subunit ribosomal RNA
Source: RNAcentral